CUUUUUCACGUGCUUCGAUGAAAGACAUUUCUUCACCUCUCAGAUGAAAAAUAAGCUCAUCAAGGGGUGAUUCAUCUUCAUCUUCAAGCUCUUCAUCAAUUUCUGCUUCAUCUCCAGUAUCCUCAUCCGGAUCACUCUCGAUUUCAUCAUCAGAACUUUUACUCUCCUCCUUUUCGCUUUCUUCACAUUCUUCUCCUUCUUCGCUUUCUUCCCCUUCUUCGAUUUCUUCGAUUUCUAAGAUUUCUUCUCCUUCUCCGCUUUCUUCUUUUUCUUCGUCUUCUUCUUUUUCCUCGCAUUCUUCUUUUUCUUCGUUUUCUUCUCUUACUUCGUCUUCUUCUCCUACUUCGCCUUCUUCUCUUUCAACGCUUUCUUCUUCUUUUUCUUCCACCUUUU
This 393-nucleotide long non-coding RNA is filed under the name Lupinus mutabilis. RNAcentral describes it as "partial ncRNA". Lineage: Eukaryota; Viridiplantae; Streptophyta; Magnoliopsida; Fabales; Fabaceae. The record is from RNAcentral.